This 74-nucleotide transfer RNA is filed under the name Candidatus Nealsonbacteria bacterium RIFCSPHIGHO2_01_FULL_38_55. Its description in RNAcentral is "tRNA-Pro". It matches the Rfam family "tRNA". From Rfam's summary of the family: Transfer RNA (tRNA) molecules are approximately 80 nucleotides in length. Their secondary structure includes four short double-helical elements and three loops (D, anti-codon, and T loops). The record is from RNAcentral. RNAcentral also lists the same sequence under 1 other name. Lineage: Bacteria; Candidatus Nealsoniibacteriota.
CGGGGAAUGGUCCAACGGCAGGAUAUGCGCAUGGGGUGCGCAUGGUGGGAGUUCGAUUCUCCCUUCCCCGACAA